AUGAAUUUUUUAAGUGAAAACUGACGAAAACCGGCCAAAUUUCUGGCAUUUUUACGAGAUGAUAGAAACAAUUUUCAUUGCUUCAUACUGGAUUAUUAUACAACAAGUAUAAAGAACUAAACUGCAAAAUCAUACAUAAUGGGCUGCAUACCGAAGACAAAUUAAAAUAUUGGUUUAGGGUAGAAUCGGGCAUACCGUAGGCCUAUGUGUAUUAUGCGAUAAACCAGUAAUGUCAGAAUGUGGAGGAAACUUGUUUUCAUCUCUUUUUCGAUUGUGAUUGGACCCAGAAUUUUUGGGACUGGUGCAAUAUAGGACAUUUUACUCCAGACCGAAUCAUAGCCAACAUCAUAGAAAACAAGUCUGUGUUGUUGACUGUGAUUUGUGGCAAAUCAGCAAUCUGGCAAUGCAGAAACUCUGUCAAAUAUGAUGCUAUUUAUAAAAUGCAAUGCAGUUUUUAAAUGUAAGGUAUUGGAGUGCUUGAGUUGAAUGGACAGUCAAUGCAGAAAUGAUAUUAUGCAAUAUCAACACAUUGAUGAGGUUUUAAAUAAAUUCAUCAUGCUAUAAUAUCACGUUUCCAACACAGUGACAUUUUACUGUAUUUACUAAUUUGACUAAAAUUUCUAGUUUUUCAAGAAGAUUGCACAGAUUGAAAAUGUAGAAUUCACCUAACGACAUGAUACAGUGAAACAUGUUUUUCUGAUUAUUUAUUUAAUUCUUUAAAAAAUUUUGUUUUUAUAAAAAUGCAAAUGGUAAUUAAAUUGAUUAUUUAUAUUGUAUAUUAUAUUAUAACUGAUAAUGAUGGAAAAAAAUGAAUGAAAUAAAAUGUAUAUUUUUCAAUGGAUCACUUGGAACUAUAUGCACAAAUGUGGACACAAAUGGAAUUAAAUGGCCUUCUUUCUAAUAAUGGGAAAUCGAGCCGAAACCUGAAUAUGCAAUUAAAGAGUCCUGCUGCGAAAAUAAGACAAACAUAUUUCUGUAACGAUUCGUCUGACCAAAAUCAAGACUUCAGACAAGCAGUUUACAACAAUGACAAGAAAAGAACCUGAAUGUAAGGAGGGUUCUGAAUUCAACUGAACGUAAAGUAUUUAAAGUUUCUUGUGGAUUCAGGGGACGAACUCUGGAAACAAGGAAAAAGAAUGAUGAAAAGUAAAAAAAGUUAAUUCGGAUUUGGAAACUUAAGACAAAGAAGAAAUGCAUAAAGAUGAUCUGCUAGAGAAGAAAUACGAGGCUUCCAUCCGUUUCCGAUGAAUCAGCUGAAGAUUGUUUCCUG
Molecule: non-coding RNA, 1270 nt
Organism: Styela clava
Lineage: Eukaryota; Metazoa; Chordata; Ascidiacea; Stolidobranchia; Styelidae
Source: RefSeq, a predicted model, not a curated record